CCCGGGGGGGGCCUAAUAAUGCAAGUCGAACGCGUUGGCCCAAUUGAUUGAUGGUGCUUGCACCUGAUUGAUUUUGGUCGCCAACGAGUGGCGGACGGGUGAGUAACACGUAGGUAACCUGCCCAGAAGCGGGGGACAACAUUUGGAAACAGAUGCUAAUACCGCAUAACAACGUUGUUCGCAUGAACAACGCUUAAAAGAUGGCUUCUCGCUAUCACUUCUGGAUGGACCUGCGGUGCAUUAGCUUGUUGGUGGGGUAACGGCCUACCAAGGCGAUGAUGCAUAGCCGAGUUGAGAGACUGAUCGGCCACAAUGGGACUGAGACACGGCCCAUACUCCUACGGGAGGCAGCAGUAGGGAAUCUUCCACAAUGGGCGCAAGCCUGAUGGAGCAACACCGCGUGAGUGAAGAAGGGUUUCGGCUCGUAAAGCUCUGUUGUUAAAGAAGAACACGUAUGAGAGUAACUGUUCAUACGUUGACGGUAUUUAACCAGAAAGUCACGGCUAACUACGUGCCAGCAGCCGCGGUAAUACGUAGGUGGCAAGCGUUAUCCGGAUUUAUUGGGCGUAAAGAGAGUGCAGGCGGUUUUCUAAGUCUGAUGUGAAAGCCUUCGGCUUAACCGGAGAAGUGCAUCGGAAACUGGAUAACUUGAGUGCAUAAGAGGGUAGUGGAACUCCAUGUGUAGCGGUGAAAUGCGUACAAAACGGUGUUAGUGCCUUGAGCAUGGUGAU
RNAcentral lists this ribosomal RNA (731 nucleotides) under Limosilactobacillus fermentum. RNAcentral describes it as "bacterial SSU rRNA". It matches the Rfam family "Bacterial small subunit ribosomal RNA", at positions 36 to 725 of the family's 1533-position model. Lineage: Bacteria; Bacillati; Bacillota; Bacilli; Lactobacillales; Lactobacillaceae. The record is from RNAcentral.